AUUGAACGCUGGCGGCAGGCCUAACACAUGCAAGUCGAGCGGAUGAAGGGUGCUUGCUCCUGGAUACAGCGGGGGACGGGUGUGUAAUGCCUACAAAUCUCCCUGGUAGUUGGGGAUAACGUGCGAAAACGGGCGCUAUUACCGCAUACGUCCUGAGGGAGAAAGUUUGGUAUCUUCGGAUCUCACGCUUUCAGAUGAGCCUAGGUAGGAUUAGCUAGUUGGUGGGGUAAAGGCCUACCAAGCCGACGAUCCGUAACUGGUCUGAGAGGAUGAUCAGUCACACUGGAACUGAGACACGGUCCAGACUCCUACGGGAGGCAGCAGUGGGGAAUAUUGGACAAUGGGCGGAAGCCUGAUCCAGCCAAGCCGCGUGGGUGAAGAAGGGCUUCCGAUUUGAAAGCAAAUUAGGUUGGGAAGAAGAGCAGUAAGUUAAUACCGUGAUGUUUUGACGUUACCAACAGAAUAAGCACCGGCUAACUUCGUG
RNAcentral lists this ribosomal RNA (484 nucleotides) under uncultured bacterium. RNAcentral's name for it is "partial 16S ribosomal RNA". It matches the Rfam family "Bacterial small subunit ribosomal RNA", at positions 30 to 507 of the family's 1533-position model. The record is from RNAcentral.